UGGUGGAGUGAUUUGUCUGGUUAAUUCCGAUAACGAACGAGACUCUAUUCUGCUAAAUAGUACACUGUUCUUGGCAUUCUAUGUCUCAGACGGUGCUGACUUCUUAGAGAGAUAAGCGAUAUUUAAAUCGCAAGAAAGAGAGCAAUAACA
RNAcentral lists this ribosomal RNA (150 nucleotides) under uncultured eukaryote. Its description in RNAcentral is "partial 18S ribosomal RNA". It matches the Rfam family "Eukaryotic small subunit ribosomal RNA", at positions 1299 to 1458 of the family's 1831-position model. The record is from RNAcentral.